Long non-coding RNA from Pseudophryne corroboree (corroboree frog), 1090 nucleotides. RefSeq lists it as uncharacterized. Lineage: Eukaryota; Metazoa; Chordata; Amphibia; Anura; Myobatrachidae. The record is from RefSeq and is a predicted model, not a curated record. The transcript is spliced from 3 exons.
UUUAAACACUACAGUUCACCUCUGGCACCCUGGGAAGGCCAUGCUGACUGCAAAAUGUGCCUCUUCCCACCUACGUCACAAGGUGGAUACUUGAGGAAAAACAGCCAAACUGAUUUGUCACUUAUUUUUGAGAGAAGAACUACGUAGGAUUUUACAAAAGAAAAAAAUUCCAUGCACGUCUUUAACAGAAGCAAGCUAAACAAGACGUGUAGUUAUGUCAUGGAUCACUUACUAUAUUCUCCAUGGUCAAAAGAUUAAACUCUCAGCUUGUGCUUCCAGGUAUUCCAGCUCCUGUGACCUUGCUCCACUUAAAGAGACUCCGCACCAGUUACCACCCUGCGGUGCUGCCUGACUCCAGCAGUGUUCCUACACUGUCCCGUGUGAUCUGCAGUGACUCAUCACCGUCUUCCAGCUUAGAGCGUUGUCCAGUAUCGCUUUUAGCUUCCAGCGGUGUUACAACAUCACUCCUAAUUAUCAUUGGUGUAUCUACAUCGCUCCCCGCAAGCUACAGUGAUUCUUCACCGGCUUCCAGCUCUCAGUGGCUUCCCAGUAGCGCUUCCAGCUUCCAGCGGUGCUCCUGUGUCACUUCAUCUCUCAGCAGAGUUCCUGUAUCACCUCUAACUCUAAACUAUCGCUAUCCGUUCCUUGCGGUGUUCCAGCAUCAAUCCAUCUGUCGGCUCUUUCUCAACAUCGAACCACAGUUCACCAUCGGUACUCACCAUCGGACUCGACCAUCAUCGGUGAGUUCCGCUGCACCUUUCCAUCUGGACCGGUUCCAUCCGGCAUCCCUGGCAGUUCUCAUGAGUUCUUUUCAACCUCUGUGCAUCCAUUUCAACUCAAGCUUCCAAAGUAUCAUCUGCUGGUCAGUACCUGCUCGUUCCCCUCUACAGUGGUUAGCUGUAGCCAACGGACAUUACAUCUCUGGGUCUAGCAGAGACUUUAUUACCAACUCAUUCUAUAUUGCCACAGUAUCUCGGAACUACCACUGCGCUAAAGGAACUGUACUGUUAUCAUUGCACAAUCUACCGUUGAAUUACCUGAACUGCAUAGGUGUAUACGAACUGUGUGUUUAAUAAAGACUUUUAUUUUA